RNAcentral lists this ribosomal RNA (1450 nucleotides) under uncultured organism. Its description in RNAcentral is "16S ribosomal RNA". It matches the Rfam family "Bacterial small subunit ribosomal RNA". The record is from RNAcentral.
GAUGAACGCUAGCUACAGGCUUAACACAUGCAAGUCGAGGGGCAUCAGGAAGAAAGCUUGCUUUCUUUGCUGGCGACCGGCGCACGGGUGAGUAACACGUAUCCAACCUGCCCUUUACUCGGGGAUAGCCUUUCGAAAGAAAGAUUAAUACCCGAUAGCAUAAUGAUUCCGCAUGGUUUCAUUAUUAAAGGAUUCCGGUAAAGGAUGGGGAUGCGUUCCAUUAGGUUGUUGGUGAGGUAACGGCCCACCAAGCCUUCGAUGGAUAGGGGUUCUGAGAGGAAGGUCCCCCACAUUGGAACUGAGACACGGUCCAAACUCCUACGGGAGGCGGCAGUGAGGAAUAUUGGUCAAUGGGCGCUAGCCUGAACCAGCCAAGUAGCGUGAAGGAUGAAGGCUCUAUGGGUCGUAAACUUCUUUUAUAUAAGAAUAAAGUGCAGUAUGUAUACUGUUUUGUAUGUAUUAUAUGAAUAAGGAUCGGCUAACUCCGUGCCAGCAGCCGCGGUAAUACGGAGGAUCCGAGCGUUAUCCGGAUUUAUUGGGUUUAAAGGGAGCGUAGGUGGACUGGUAAGUCAGUUGUGAAAGUUUGCGGCUCAACCGUAAAAUUGCAGUUGAUACUGUCAGUCUUGAGUACAGUAGAGGUGGGCGGAAUUCGUGGUGUAGCGGUGAAAUGCUUAGAUAUCACGAAGAACUCCGAUUGCGAAGGCAGCUCACUGGACUGCAACUGACACUGAUGCUCGAAAGUGUGGGUAUCAAACAGGAUUAGAUACCCUGGUAGUCCACACAGUAAACGAUGAAUACUCGCUGUUUGCGAUAUACAGUAAGCGGCCAAGCGAAAGCAUUAAGUAUUCCACCUGGGGAGUACGCCGGCAACGGUGAAACUCAAAGGAAUUGACGGGGGCCCGCACAAGCGGAGGAACAUGUGGUUUAAUUCGAUGAUACGCGAGGAACCUUACCCGGGCUUAAAUUGCAGUGGAAUGAUGUGGAAACAUGUCAGUGAGCAAUCACCGCUGUGAAGGUGCUGCAUGGUUGUCGUCAGCUCGUGCCGUGAGGUGUCGGCUUAAGUGCCAUAACGAGCGCAACCCUUAUCUUCAGUUACUAACAGGUCAUGCUGAGGACUCUGGAGAGACUGCCGUCGUAAGAUGUGAGGAAGGUGGGGAUGACGUCAAAUCAGCACGGCCCUUACGUCCGGGGCUACACACGUGUUACAAUGGGGGGUACAGAAGGCAGCUAGCGGGUGACCGUAUGCUAAUCCCAAAAGCCUCUCUCAGUUCGGAUCGAAGUCUGCAACCCGACUUCGUGAAGCUGGAUUCGCUAGUAAUCGCGCAUCAGCCAUGGCGCGGUGAAUACGUUCCCGGGCCUUGUACACACCGCCCGUCAAGCCAUGAAAGCCGGGGGUACCUGAAGUACGUAACCGCAAGGAGCGUCCUAGGGUAAAACUGGUAAUUGGGGC